ACUACAAUUAACAUCUCAUACCAUGUUGCUAAUUUGUCUUGGUCAUUUCUACCCUACGCUAUGCUCAAACAUAACUUGCUAAUAUAUAUCUAUAGUAAAAUGCUCCUGUGGUUCACCAUACAUAUUCUUGGUUCUUUGUGAAUAAAUAUCUUUAGUCUUGCAAACUUCCUUAUUCUAUUAUAAGUAUACUUUAGAAUAUUACUUAAACAUUAUGAAAAUCAAGCAUGCUUAUAUAAGAAUUUAGUUGUACAUAUAGACUAACACCUCCUACUUAAAAAAUGUUUAAAUCAUAUUAGGAGACUAUUCGUAGAAUCAAUUCAAGGUAUGCUUCAAAAUAAUAUCCUUGCUUUAACCUUGAUGAAAAAAUUGAAAUAGUAUUGAAUCAUUGAAAACAUGAGCUACAAAUCAAUCUUUAACUCUUAGGCAAACACGAUCCAUACUUUGAUAAAUAGUAUAUUCCUUUGGGUAUGUGUUCUCCACUUACCCCUUGCAGAAAAGACAUAAUGAGAGAAGCAUAAGGUCUGAAGAGUGAGAAAGGAGUACGACAUAAGAGACAAGAUGCUAAUGAAUAACCCAUGAUACAAGAAAAAAGAGAGAGAUAAUUGAAACUCAUUUACCCUUCAUCAUGCUCUAAUGGAGGUAACAUCUUAAGAUAAGUGGUCAUUAAUUUCCUCUUGAUCUUGGUAUGCAAUAAAUGAAAAUACAACCAUAUUAGAGUUACAACUUAAAUUGAUCAACCUGAUUAAACUCAACAUGAUUUGUUCUCUGAGUUUGUUCAUAGCGCUAUUCUUGUAAUCUCAGUCUUAACCGAGUAAGCUAGAAAUACUUUGUAUAUUAUUCUUGAUAUAUUAUAAAGAUGAAUAGCCUUUCUAAUGGUUAAGUAAAUUUACUCUUUAUCUCACAAAUUUAAAUAUCAUAUUAUACUUCUGGUCCUCUCACCCAUGAUAGGAAUGAAUAAUAUGAAUAAUAUCAAUCUUAUUGUGCCCAAAGUUAGAAGAUAAAUAAAUUUCUAGUUCUGUUAGUGUUUUCCCACCAAUAGAGCCCAUGCACUAGAUCUCUACCUUGUCUUUAUGAAAGUUUUCAACUAGUGUAUAAUGAUGCACAUAAGAUUGGCUUUGAGACGCCUACAAUAGAAAGAAAUAAGGUGGCACCGCUAUUGGGAACCACUAGUAGAGGCACCACCUCAAUCCUUACCGUUAAGAGCAACUCAAAGUACUCAAUGAACCACUACAAGGAGAAGUCCAGUUCGACGGACUAAAAACAUCGAAUCUCGCCAUAAGGUAACAUCAGUAGUUAUCUAUAUCUACUUCCUUACAUUGCAUGAGUUAAUUUCUCUUUACUAUGUUUACUUUUCUAGAUUGGCAAUGCAUAGAAAUAACAAAAAUAAAUAGUCUUGCAUUAGGCUACAUUCAUGCAUCUUAAAAAAAUAUUAAGCUCCAUGUGAAACCCUUGUAGUGUAAAAGCUGUAGGAGUUCUCACCAUGGUGGCCUAUAGAGAAAAAAUAAAAUAAAAAUAUAUAUCAUGCAUUUGCACUUUAUGCAUAUAAACCCAUAAAAUCCAAAAAAAAUAUUAACUGAGCAUCCUGCUGCAAUACUACUCUCUUAAAAAUACUUUACCACCACAACACCCAAUCCUCUAAAAAUGGUAAUCAUUAACGUUUUAUCCUAAUACCGUCCCACGAGUUUUGGUGUUUUGUGUUGCUUUCUACAGGAUGACUCCAAGAGCCAGCCUACCAAGGAAUCUUUAUCUUCAUCACUUGAAGUACACCUUUCUAACAUACAGCUGACCUCUGUAUGAAUGAAGUAACUUCUAGGGUGAUGAGAUUGAAGUAUUAUUAGCAACACGAAGGAGGUGGAGUUUGAAGAGUAGAGAGGGGUUUUGAGAAAAUGAAACGCAUAUUUUCUAUUGCACCAUUGGAAAGUUUGGAUAAGUCUCACCGGAUGCUAGCCUCGGAGGCAUCGGACACUGAUCCCGUGUGUC
RNAcentral lists this long non-coding RNA (1980 nucleotides) under Sorghum bicolor (sorghum). RNAcentral's name for it is "long non-coding RNA (SBIC_LNC008860)". Lineage: Eukaryota; Viridiplantae; Streptophyta; Magnoliopsida; Poales; Poaceae. The record is from RNAcentral.